This 1347-nucleotide long non-coding RNA is filed under the name Oreochromis niloticus (Nile tilapia). RNAcentral's name for it is "lncRNA (ENSONIG00000040338.1)". The record is from RNAcentral. Lineage: Eukaryota; Metazoa; Chordata; Actinopteri; Cichliformes; Cichlidae.
AUGAAUAACUUUUGUUCUUUUUCUUUUUCUCUAGUCCCUGAUGAACCACCUAAUCUUCAGUGUGCAGACAUGCGUGUUGCUGACUGUGAGCCUACCAGAUACUCUCAGUGUACUGCAUAUGUGCCAUAUAACAACAGGCUAUGUCUAGAAGAACAUCAAGUAGAUGCACGUGGGGGUGAUUCUGGUGGUGGAGUGAUUUACAACAACAUGAUUUAUGGUGUAAUCAGUUCUGGUUUUGAACGUGUCUGUACUGGACCAGCUGUUACUGUGAAUGUUUGUUCUUACAUGAACUGGAUAAAUCAGAAAAUUGCCCAAAAUAAUGGAAAAUAACUGAAUGAAAAUAACAUCCAGAAUAAACAAUCAUCUCUACAUGAAACUUGUGUGCUGUGUGUUAUUUCUACUCUAGAACAUCUUCAUGUUAACUGCAAAUUGUGAACCUUUUUCUUUGGUCUAAAAUAUUGUGUUAGAUUUGCAGCUUGUGUGUGUUUGAAUGUGGUGUCAGGUGUGUAGCAGCUCAUCCUGUUGUUCAGAAACUCUCAGACUCACACUGUGAAGAUGCAGAAAGGCUUUCUGAUCAGACAUGCCACCAAUCAGCUGCAGGGCCUGAACAUGAUAAACUUUAUAAAUCUGACCUGAUUGUUGAGGGUGGAAACGUUUACAUGGAGGCUGUUGGCUCAUUGGUGUCAGAUGAACUUUUUUUUAAAUCACUGCACUGAGGGCAUUAAAAUAAACACAGUAACCAACAAAAUAAGUUUUGUUGAUAAAAUACAUUUCUUGAAACCGUCCAUUGUUUUGUCCGAACUCUAAACAUUGAAUCCAAUUUUCAAACUAAAAGCAGUGCUUUCAAAAAAAAAAUACCCCAAAACAAAAAACCUACAAAAACAAAAAAUAAACAAAAUAAAAUUAUAGUACACAGUGACAUAUGUAUUUUAUAUCUCAUAACACAGGGGUGGGCAAUUCCAGGCCUCGAGGGCCGAUGUCCCUGCAGGUUUUAGAUCUCACCUUGGGUCAACACACCUGAAUCACAUGAUUAGCUCGUUACCAGGCCUCUGGAGAACCUGAGGAGCUAAUUUAGCCAUUUAAAUCAGCUGUGUUGGUUCAAGGACACAUCUAAAACCUGCAGGGACACCGGCCCUCGAGGCCUGGAGUUGCCGACUCCUGUCAUAACACGUCAUUUCAAUCUUGUCUUCAGUCCUGCAUUUUUAUACUUCUAAGACCAAAGUGAAAACUAAACUCUUUAUAUUCACAAAGCUCAUAAACACUAUUUGUUUCAGGAUUUCAUCAUGAUUAAUUUUCCAUAUGAGGCAGUGCUUUCACAUUCCUUUUGAAGUAGUACAGAGAAAUUCC